GAUCGCGCUCCUUGCAGCAGCUAGCGGCUGUCGGCGGGCCAUGGCGAGCAAGAGCCUCGGUGUCCUCAGCCUCAGCGCCCUGCUCCUGAUUGCGGCUCCGGGGGGCGCGGGGCCGCCGACCGGCUGCCAGGGCGUCCGGAAAGUUUUCCAGCUGCGGCAACUCGGCCCCCUCAGAGACAUCCCGGAGUCGCCGCGGGCGGGGGCUGAUCUCCAGGUUUGUACUUCUAAAAAUACAACAUGUUGCACCAAAAAGAUGGAAGAAAGAUAUCAGACUGUAGCAAAGCAAGAUAUACAGCAAGUGCUUCAAUCAUCAAGCGCUACUUUGAAAUUUUUAAUAUCUCAUAAUGCAGCUGCUUUUCACGAAACCUUUGAAAUGCUCAUCAGACUUGCUGAGAAUUACACGAGCACGCUUUUCUGCAAUGCAUAUAGAAACAUGGCUGCUGAGGCUACCACACGUGUUCAGGAGUUUUUCACAGAUGUUGGGCUCUUCAUGUUUGGCACAGACAUUAGCAUGGAGGAAUUUGUCAACAAAUUUUUCGAUACUCUGUUCCCAGUAGUCUACAACCAUGUGAUUAACCCUGGUCUGACUGACAUUUCACUGGAAUAUGCAGAGUGCCUCCGAACGGCGAGAAGGGCCAUCAGGCCCUUUGGUAACGUUCCCAGACAAACCAUAGGACAAAUGGGAAGAUCACUGCUAUCCAGCCGGACCUUCUUGCAGGCUCUGAAUUUGGGGAUUGAAGUGAUCAAUACGACAGAUCAUCUGCAUUUCUCUAAAGACUGCAGCAAAGCUUUACUGAGAAUGCAGUACUGUCCUCAUUGCCAAGGGCUGACUUCAAGUAAGCCCUGUAUGGGCUACUGCCUCAAUGUCAUCCGAGGCUGCUUAGCUAACAUGGCAGAAGUUGAUCUUCACUGGCAGAUGUAUAUUCAGUCCCUGGAGGAGCUUUCAAGUGCCAUGAGUGGAACACAGGAUGUUGAGCAUGUGCUUCUAAACUUUCAUUCGCUUGUUAAUGAUGCCCUCGUACAGGCUCAUAUCAAUGGGCCGGAGUUAUCCAAGCAGGUGAAUAAGGUAUGUGGACCUCCUGUAAGGAAGCCUGUGCAGUCUCCAGGCUGUUUGUUUGAUCAGAACAAAGAUAAUCAAGGAUUGAAGAUGUUUUCAAGAGACAGUGAAGAAACCCUUGCCAGCAGAAGAAAAGAAUUUAUCAGCCACCUCCGACUCUACAGAGCCUUUUACGGUGGCCUGGCUGAUCAGCUGUGCGGUAAUGAGUUGGCAGCUGCCGAUGGGCUCCCAUGUUGGAAUGGAGAAGAUGUUGUAAGAAGCUAUACUCAUCGUGUGGUUGGCAGUGGAAUCAAAGCUCAGUCUACAAAUCCAGAAGUAAAAGUGAAGGGAACAGAUCCUGUAAUAAGUCAAAUUAUUGACAAGCUGAAACAUGUUAUUCAGCUGUUGCAGGGAAAAUCAUUUCCUAAAUAUGAUAAAUGGAAUCUCCAACAAACAGGCAGUGGUGAUGUAGAUGAACAAAUCAGUGGGGAUUGUGACGAUGAAGAUGGUUGUGGAGGAUCAGGAAGUGGAGAAGUCAAGAGAAUCCUGAAAAUUACUGACUGAACUCCCACAGGACUACUUCAUACAUCACAAUGAAUUACCUCCUCAAACCCCCUGCAGAAUGCAAGAGAGUUAGUUGUGAGAUGAUUCUGAAGCAGGUAGAGACUGCACUAUGAAGAGAUUGACCUUUGCCAAUGGAUAACAGAAAUGAGAUUGUUCAACAGAAGAUACAACAGAGACUUAAAGCUGUUAUGGUCAACCUCUACAAAGUACCCUUUGUGCACGUGGGCAUUUAUUAAUGGGGGAAGAACACUGAAUUUUUGUGUCUGUUCUGUCAGAGAAGGAUUGAACAAGAAGAAAUCUGAAUGUCACUGGGUCUGUUAGGGAUGAAGAUGUGUGUGAAAUAUUAAGUUUUGGGGAAAAACCAUGAGACAUGUUACAUUUCUCUUCGUCACAAUUUUAAGAGGGUAGUUCUUUGAGUCGUUGAGGUAGGUUUUUUCACCUAGUGUUAUGCUGUAAUUUCUGGGAGAAUGGUAGAAAAUUUUCAGAUGCCAAGAACUAUAAAUUUUUGAAUUCUCUGAAUUUUCCUUUGUGGUUAACCAUAGUGAAUCUCACAUAUAAGCUUCAUGCUGCUUUGGGAAAUUUCCUAUCCUAUGCUUCAAGCUUCUUUAGAGUGCCUAUGACAUAGUAUGAUAUAGUAUGUUUUUUUCAAAUGAUUCUGUUUUCCUAAAGCAAAAAUGAGAUCAUAGACAGUUGGAGCACCCUAUAAAGUAACUGCUCAUUCAGUACUACAUCAUACAUAAAAACUAUUAACAUUUUUAAUACCAUAACUUCAUAUUUUGUAAUAAUAUAAUAUACAGUGCAUGAUCUAAAGUUGACAACA
RNA transcript from Colius striatus (speckled mousebird), 2420 nucleotides. It is a transcript of the gene named glypican 5, with no coding region annotated. The transcript is spliced from 11 exons. Lineage: Eukaryota; Metazoa; Chordata; Aves; Coliiformes; Coliidae. The record is from RefSeq and is a predicted model, not a curated record.